RNAcentral lists this ribosomal RNA (253 nucleotides) under uncultured bacterium. RNAcentral's name for it is "partial 16S ribosomal RNA". It matches the Rfam family "Bacterial small subunit ribosomal RNA", at positions 524 to 776 of the family's 1533-position model. The record is from RNAcentral.
UACGGAGGGGGCUAGCGUUGUUCGGAAUUACUGGGCGUAAAGCGCACGUAGGCGGCUUUGUAAGUUAGAGGUGAAAGCCCGGGGCUCAACUCCGGAAUUGCCUUUAAGACUGCAUCGCUAGAAUUGUGGAGAGGUAAGUGGAAUUCCGAGUGUAGAGGUGAAAUUCGUAGAUAUUCGGAAGAACACCAGCGGCGAAGGCGACUUACUGGACACAUAUUGACGCUGAGGUGCGAAAGCGUGGGGAGCAAACAGG